RNAcentral lists this small nuclear RNA (309 nucleotides) under Propithecus coquereli (Coquerel's sifaka). RNAcentral describes it as "7SK RNA (ENSPCOG00000011667.1)". It matches the Rfam family "7SK RNA". Rfam says of the family: 7SK was discovered as an abundant small nuclear RNA in the mid-70s but a possible function has only recently been suggested. Two independent studies have found that 7SK RNA binds the CDK9/cyclin T complex (known as elongation factor P-TEFb). The record is from Rfam by way of RNAcentral. Lineage: Eukaryota; Metazoa; Chordata; Mammalia; Primates; Indriidae.
AGAUGUGAGGGCGAUCUGGCUGCAACAUCUGUCACCCCAUUAAUCACCAGGGUUGAUUCGGCUGAUCUGGCUGGCUAGGCGGGUGUCCCCUUCCUCCCUCACCUUUCAUGUGUGUCCUUCCCAAAGCUGCAUGAUAGGUCAAAGAGGACGACCUCCCCCGAUAGAGGAGGAGCAUUCUUCAGUCAAGGAUAUACAAGUAGUGAUGCUCCCCUGCUAGAACCUCCAAACAAGCUCUCAAGAUUCCUUGGAAGUAAGUACCCAACAUGACUGUUCCUAGCCACUUGCAUCCAGGUGGGACAUGCGACUAGU